Molecule: ribosomal RNA, 362 nt
Filed under: uncultured bacterium
Lineage: Bacteria
Description: bacterial SSU rRNA
Rfam family: Bacterial small subunit ribosomal RNA
Source: RNAcentral
UCAGAGUGGAAUAACAUUUGGAAACGAAUGGUAAUACCGCAUAACGUCACGGGACCGCAUGAUCCUGUGACCAAAGGAGCAAUCCGCUGAGAGAUGGGACUCGCGUCCGAUUAGCUAGUUGGAGAGGUAACGGNUCCCCAAGGCGACGAUCGGUAGCCGGACUGAGAGGUUGAACGGCCACAUUGGGACUGAGACACGGCCCAGACUCCUACGGGAGGCAGCAGUGGGGAAUAUUGGGCAAUGGGCGCAAGCCCUGACCCAGCAACGCCGCGUGAAGGAAGAAGGUUUUCGGAUUGUAAACUUCUGUUCUUAGGGAAGAAUAAAUGACGGUACCUAAGGAGCAAGCCACGGCUAACUACGUG